Molecule: long non-coding RNA, 231 nt
Organism: Thalassophryne amazonica
Lineage: Eukaryota; Metazoa; Chordata; Actinopteri; Batrachoidiformes; Batrachoididae
Exons: 3
Source: RefSeq, a predicted model, not a curated record
AUGUGCAUGAUCGAUUUGGUCUCAAAGCAAAAUUCCACCAGUUUCCCUUUUUGUUCGAUUGUAAGCAGCAGCCUCAUUGGAUCAGUCUCAGACUACAUCAGAACACACUCCUCACAUACAGUAGUGUUCAGAAUAAUAGUAGUGCUAUGUGACUAAAAAGAUUAAUCCAGGUUUUGAGUAUAUUUCUUAUUGUUACAUGGGAAACAAGGUACCAGUAGAUUCUCACAAAUC